Molecule: non-coding RNA, 465 nt
Organism: Camellia sinensis
Lineage: Eukaryota; Viridiplantae; Streptophyta; Magnoliopsida; Ericales; Theaceae
Source: RefSeq, a predicted model, not a curated record
GUAGGAACUUUCAGGCAAACUGACUUGUGAAAUGGAAGUAAAAAUUUCUGUGUUUGAGAUUUGACAGGAGGGUCUCAAUUUAUACAUGUAUAGGGGAGAGAGGAAGAGCCUCCAGCCUUUAUAACUGUUCAUAAUGCAUCAUUAAUCCUCUACAAUAAAGACAGGAGUUACAAACCCCAUUAAUGCAGGAGUUACAAACCCCAUUAAUGCAAGAGUUACAACCUUCAUUACCGUUUUUCCAUGAAGCUAACUUCAUGAGAUACAAAGAACAUUUGUCUUCUCAAACACAUCACUGAUAGUUGACAUCUUUGGUUUUUGAAGUUGAAAGAUAUGAAGAGUUGAGUAGUAACCGGAGGCCUCGACUAGUCUCUUCUGCAAUAUUUACAGUCUUUCAUUUCUUUGCUCUUGUUGGCAUUUGCUUUGUACUUCUUUUAUUUUGUAUCCUUAAAAAAAAAAAAAAAAAAA